GACGAUGAAGCCUAGCUUGCUGGGUGGAUUAGUGGCGAACGGGUGAGUAACACGUGAGCAACCUGCCCCUGACUCUGGGAUAAGCGCUGGAAACGGCGUCUAAUACUGGAUAUGUCCCAUCACCGCAUGGUGUGUGGGUGGAAAGAUUUUUCGGUUGGGGAUGGGCUCGCGGCCUAUCAGCUUGUUGGUGAGGUAAUGGCUCACCAAGGCGUCGACGGGUAGCCGGCCUGAGAGGGUGACCGGCCACACUGGGACUGAGACACGGCCCAGACUCCUACGGGAGGCAGCAGUGGGGAAUAUUGCACAAUGGGCGGAAGCCUGAUGCAGCAACGCCGCGUGAGGGAUGACGGCCUUCGGGUUGUAAACCUCUUUUAGCAGGGAAGAAGCGAGAGUGACGGUACCUGCAGAAAAAGCACCGGCUAACUACGUGCCAGCAGCCGCGGUAAUACGUAGGGUGCAAGCGUUAUCCGGAAUUAUUGGGCGUAAAGAGCUCGUAGGCGGUUUGUCGCGUCUGCUGUGAAAUCCCGAGGCUCAACUUCGGGCUUGCAGUGGGUACGGGCAGACUAGAGUGCGGUAGGGGAGAUUGGAAUUCCUGGUGUAGCGGUGGAAUGCGCAGAUAUCAGGAGGAACACCGAUGGCGAAGGCAGAUCUCUGGGCCGUAACUGACGCUGAGGAGCGAAAGGGUGGGGAGCAAACAGGCUUAGAUACCCUGGUAGUCCACCCCGUAAACGUUGGGAACUAGUU
Molecule: ribosomal RNA, 744 nt
Filed under: Microbacterium sp. TBA10
Lineage: Bacteria; Bacillati; Actinomycetota; Actinomycetes; Micrococcales; Microbacteriaceae
Description: bacterial SSU rRNA
Rfam family: Bacterial small subunit ribosomal RNA
Source: RNAcentral